GGGGAGCCGGUGUGUGAAGCCGGCACCACGUUAGCGGAACCGAGUUAUUGAAGGGCCCCACCUGGGUGGAGCCGUGAGUGUGAGCAGCUUCCGCUUCCCCCGGAAGCUGGCGUCGUGCAGGAACCCUCACCCGCCCGAGCGGGGCCCUGGGCCUCCGGGUCACUCUCUGUGGCGGGGUCUGGCUGCGCGUCAGACGGCCUCCUCCAAUGCCCGCAGUUGCUGUCGCCCCCAGGCCUGGACCGGGGAGUGAGGGGUGGGCCUGACCGGCCCCUGAGCUCCCGUCAGCCCCCCACGCGAGCCCGUCCUGUGCUGGGGGCAGGGAGAUGGGCCGGUGGGAGAGGAGACCGCAUCCAGCCCUCCCUGGCCACCUGCAGGGUCCCCACCGUGGCGGCUGCUUUACUGCUAACUCCUCCCGGGGACCCCAAGUCCCCAUCGCUCUCGGGGGUCCCCCUCAUCCGAACCGCCUCGGAGGAGGGCCGCAUCUCACGCGGAGCACCCCUCCACGCCUGUGACCCUGGACUUGCUCUCCCGCCCCCGCCCGGGCCUCAGGGCUCAGGAGGCCGUGAUGAAGCCAGCAGGUGAACUGCACCCUGGAGCCUCCGACGGGGCGGCCACGGGCAGCGAAGAACCCGGAAAAACAGUACCCUUCUGAGGUUAAUCCGCGUUGAUAGAAGCAGGUGUGGUUCAUCUGGAAUCUGUUGGUGUGAACUGCGCGGCGGCGUCCCCCACCAGGCACCACAGGCCCGGCGGGUGGUGUGGGGGCCGCAUCUCAUGGAGGUCUCCGUCCACGUUGCCCCCAUUGUGACCGCAGCGGGCGCCUCUUGGUAGCAGCCACCGGCCUCUUCUGGGACUCGCCGGAGGGUUUCCACGUCGCCCGCUCCGACGGGGCUGUUCAUCUCCCCUUGAUCUGUGGGACUCCCCGUCCGUCUCAGGUUGCAUUCCAUGGGCCCGGGAGCCUUUUUUGGACAGACGCCGUGGUGUGACUCCAGCUGAGCUGCCCCCUUGGCCAGGGCCACCAGAGGCAGCCCCCUGCCUCCAGAUCAAGAGCCCACCCACCCUCACGGGUGGCCAGGAGCUGGCCCCUGGCCUGUGGGCCGGCCUGGCUGCCUUGGUCAUGGCAGGAAGGAUCCAUCACUGCUGCCUGAUGGAUGAUCUGAGCCGCCUCCUGCCCGCGCCCCGUGCUGUUUCAGCUGCAGAAAAAUGUUUAUCACUCGGCACAGCAGCGACCCUCCCUCCCUGCCUGCCUCCCUCCCUGCCUGCCUCCCUCCCUCCCUCCCUCCCUCCCUCCUUCCUUC
Molecule: long non-coding RNA, 1295 nt
Filed under: Homo sapiens (human)
Lineage: Eukaryota; Metazoa; Chordata; Mammalia; Primates; Hominidae
Description: non-protein coding lnc-ELFN1-1:2
Source: RNAcentral